Long non-coding RNA from Lolium perenne, 425 nucleotides. RefSeq lists it as uncharacterized. Lineage: Eukaryota; Viridiplantae; Streptophyta; Magnoliopsida; Poales; Poaceae. The record is from RefSeq and is a predicted model, not a curated record.
GAAGCCGAGUCAAGUUUGUAUUUGCCUGGCUCGAUGGAUGAAGAACUAUUUGCGGAUCUCCCCACGGCAUCGUGUGCUGCAGCAGGCAUUGGAGACUGUAGGCAUGUCUAUGCUCUGAACAACGACACGCUAUGACGAGGAGAACGAGAUGCUCACUGCUAUUCGCAUCCAUGUUCCUCUGCAUCCGAAUUCCCCGCCUCACAACAAAUCUCUUCUACAGUGACUGGUCUGCAUACCCGAAUGUAUGCACGAAUCAGUAUUAUUACAGAAAAUGAAUUGAAUAGUAUCUCCAUUUCAUCUCAAAAAAAUGUAGAAUAAUACUAAAGAAAGAAAUUUCCCAUCCAUGUAGAUGAAGUACCCCAAUCAGUUUAUAAUGUUUAAGACCAAUUAUUGAACAUUUGUUCUUCAACAUUUGCUUUUGCUUU